AUGGGCGCAAGCCUGAUCCAGCCAUGCCGCGUGAGUGAAGAAGGCCUUCGGGUUGUAAAGCUCUUUCGGACGGGAAGAAAUGGCGGGCCCUAACAUAGCCUGUCGAUGACGGUACCGUAAGAAGAAGCACCGGCUAACUACGUGCCAGCAGCCGCGGUAAUACGCAGGGUGCGAGCGUUGAUCGGAAUUACUGGGCGUAAAGCGUGCGCAGGCGGUUUUGUAAGACAGAUGUGAAAUCCCCGGGCUUAACCUGGAAACUGCGUUUGUGACGGCAAGGCUGGUGUUCGGCAGAGGGGGGUGGAAUUCCACGUGUAGCGGUGAAAUGCGUAGAGAUGUGGAGGAACACCGAUGGCGAAGGCAGCCCCCUGGGCCUGUACUGACGCUCAUGCACGAAAGCGUGGGGAGCAAACA
RNAcentral lists this ribosomal RNA (411 nucleotides) under uncultured bacterium. Its description in RNAcentral is "bacterial SSU rRNA". It matches the Rfam family "Bacterial small subunit ribosomal RNA", at positions 371 to 774 of the family's 1533-position model. The record is from RNAcentral.